RNA transcript from Daphnia pulicaria, 1188 nucleotides. RefSeq lists it as uncharacterized. The transcript has 4 exons. The record is from RefSeq and is a predicted model, not a curated record. Lineage: Eukaryota; Metazoa; Arthropoda; Branchiopoda; Diplostraca; Daphniidae.
UAUAUUCAUCAAAAAAAUUAAUCAUUAAGUUAUGUUACAGUAUUCCCCGUAUAUUAUGGUUCGUCCCGGUUUGUAUUGCUUUGUAUAAUCUUUAGUUGAACGCUAAAUAAAAUUAGAGGCUAGCUAAGAGAAUUUGGCUAGAUCUUUACAAGAUUAGUGAAUGUGAUUUUUUAAAGAAAUUGUGCCUGUUGCACAUCGAUAUUAUUCGCCUUGAUUCUUAAAGGUGGCUUGGCUAAACUUUCAACGGCAACUUUUGAAGUUUUCGUGGGCACUGAUUUGCAGAGUGCUCGUGACCAACAGAUAAAAUGGCCCAAUCCAUAUUGCAAAUUUGCAAGCUGUCUUCCAAAACAAUCCAAAACCAAGGAAUUUCUAUUUGCAAGUAAACUAUGGCGUCGUGCUGCUGCUGUGUGUUGUAUCGUUGAUGGCUGGGUCGACCACUGGUGUACCGAUGUCUUCUUGGUAGGGCGGGUACCAAACCGCAACACCGCCGCCUUACUACCCAAAAGCAACUUACGCAACGACCAGUUCCUGCACCGAGGUCUACAAGUACUACACUACUAAGGCACCGGAGUUUUAUACCAUAACUUACGCUGACCCGAGCCACUAUACUGACGCCCUGAAAUAUUACUCUGCCCUGAGUUACUACACCACCAAGGCGACGGAGCAGGACUACGCAUGCUGCCCCAUCCUACUACACCGAGGCUCCCAGGUGCUACACCGAUGCUCCCGCUGAUUAGUCCACCCAAACGGUCGAAUACUACACCGAAGCGGCGAAAUACUUCUCUGCCCCGAUCUACACAACCACAGCUGAGGUGGCUAAAUAUUACGCAGUCCCGACUUGCUACAUAAAAGCUGCCCUUUCGUGCUACGUUGAACAGAAAUACUACACUGAUGCUCCAGUCUACUACACCACGACCUACGCUACAACCCCGACCCCCCAACUACACCGAAGAAGCCGCCUAUUACACAACUACGUACGCUGCCUAGUUUACUGCAUCGAGGAAUUUAAGUAUUACCCCGGUCCAAACUACUACCAAACUGAGGUUCAUAUUUAUUGCAAUUUUCACGACUAUGUCACCACUCAACUAUACUUACGCUGCUCCCACCUAAUAUACACUGAAGUUCUGAAGUAUUUCUCUGGAUGUGUUGAAAGAUUGCUGAAAUACAAAAUUGAUUGAUAAAUCACAA